AGUGAACGCUGGCGGUAGGCCUAACACAUGCAAGUCGAACGGCAGCACAGUAAGAGCUUGCUCUUACGGGUGGCGAGUGGCGGACGGGUGAGGAAUACAUCGGAAUCUACUUUUUCGUGGGGGAUAACGUAGGGAAACUUACGCUAAUACCGCAUACGACCUACGGGUGAAAGCAGGGGAUCUUCGGACCUUGCGCGAUUGAAUGAGCCGAUGUCGGAUUAGCUAGUUGGCGGGGUAAAGGCCCACCAAGGCGACGAUCCGUAGCUGGUCUGAGAGGAUGAUAAGCCACACUGGAACUGAGACACGGUCCAGACUCCUACGGGAGGCAGCAGUGGGGAAUAUUGGAAAAUGGGCGCAAGCCUGAUCCAGCCAUACCGCGUGGGUGAAGAAGGCCUUCGGGUUGUAAAGCCCUUUUGUUGGGAAAGAAAAGCAGCAGGUUAAUACCCCGCUGUUCUGACGGUACCCAAAGAAUAAGCACCGGCUAACUUCGUG
This 492-nucleotide ribosomal RNA is filed under the name uncultured bacterium. RNAcentral describes it as "partial 16S ribosomal RNA". It matches the Rfam family "Bacterial small subunit ribosomal RNA", at positions 29 to 507 of the family's 1533-position model. The record is from RNAcentral.